GGUUGUGGCUCAGUGGUACAGUGCUCGCCUAGCACAUAUGAGGCACUGGGUUCAAACCUCAGCACCA
RNAcentral lists this transfer RNA (67 nucleotides) under Marmota monax (woodchuck). RNAcentral's name for it is "tRNA.Ala". The record is from RNAcentral. Lineage: Eukaryota; Metazoa; Chordata; Mammalia; Rodentia; Sciuridae.